CCUACGGGAGGCAGCAGUGAGGAAUAUUGGUCAAUGGCCGCAAGGCUGAACCAGCCAUGCCGCGUGCAGGUCAGUGCCCUAUGGGCGUUAAACUUCUUUUGUGCGGGAGCAAUAAUGGUCACGUCUGGCCAGACUAGAAUACCGUACGAAUAAGCAUCGGCUAACUCCGUGCCCGCAGCCGCGGUAAUACGGGGGAUGCAAGCGUUAUCCGGAUUUAUUGGGUUUAAAGGGUGCGUAGGCUGUGAGGUAAGUCAGCGGGGAAAUGCCCCCGCUCAACGGGGGGAAGUGCCAUUGAUACUGCCUUGCUGGAAUGCGGAUGCCGUGGGAGGAAUGUGUGGUGUAGCGGUGAAAUGCAUAGAUAUCACACAGAACACCGAUUGCGAAGGCAUCUCACGAAUCCGCGAUUGACGCUGAGGCACGAAAGCGUGGGUAUCAAACAGGAUUAGAUACCCGUGUAGUC
Molecule: ribosomal RNA, 460 nt
Filed under: uncultured bacterium
Lineage: Bacteria
Description: partial 16S ribosomal RNA
Rfam family: Bacterial small subunit ribosomal RNA
Source: RNAcentral